RNAcentral lists this long non-coding RNA (1830 nucleotides) under Arabidopsis lyrata. RNAcentral's name for it is "long non-coding RNA (ALYR_LNC000400)". Lineage: Eukaryota; Viridiplantae; Streptophyta; Magnoliopsida; Brassicales; Brassicaceae. The record is from RNAcentral.
CCAAAUUCAGGAAACCUAAUCAACCAAAAUCGAUUUCAUCGUCUUCUCUAUCUCUUUCUCUCUUCAUCGUCAUUCAUCAUCAUCAUGAUCAUCAUUCAUCAUCAUCAUGAUCAUCAUCAUGAUCAUCAUGAUCAUCAUCAUCAUCAUCAAAUCUCAGGAUCUUCAAGGUGGUUCUUCUCGUUCGUAGCUACCUUCUAGACUGUGAUUUCCAAUCUUUGAACUCUCGGUGAGUUUCUAGGUUGGGUUUUAUCUCCCUUUCGGAAAUCCUGUCACACCUCCGCUGAAUUAGAUCAAUUUCAUUAGCUUAUCAGUUUUAAUCAAUUUGGGUAACAACAGAGGAUUGUCAACCUAGCAAAUCCCUAAUCAAGAGUUUCUUCAAAUUCAGUGUGUCAAUAUAAUCGAGCAAUUAGUGAAGUAGGCGAGAUUGUUGGUGAAUCCUAUUUUCACGUUUUACUACAUGACAUAUAUCUUCACCUUCGAUCAAUUCAUGUCGUUCGGAAUGUUAACUAUUGUGGUUAGUGAUAGCAUCUUCCUAUCUCAGUUCUUCGAUUUGUGGUUUUUUACAUAUAGACCAAAGUCACGGUCUUUUUUUGUUCUUUUCACAAUUUUUUUUUAUCAGAAUUUCCAGAUAUUUAACCAAAGAAACAACAGAUAAAUGUUCUGUUUCUUGAAGGUGAGUUCUUCACAAAACUGGAUGGUUCGAUAUGAAGCAGAUAGUACGCUCUUUAUAUUCAUACAUCAAAUGCCUUUUGGACCAAGAACAAUAAGGUUACUUGUCGACGAAGCUAUAUUUUAAUACAACUUUUCUCAUGUUAUAAUUCGUCUAAUAAACAUCUUGGCAAACAUGCAUCCUUGUAUGUCUCGUAGACAACACCUUUGUAAGUCCUUAAAUCUUCAUCGCAUGUUGGACCUUUUAGAAAACAAAAGAGAAGUUUCAAAUGUGAAUCUCUUUCCAUCUUAUUUGAAGCAAAUGUUGUCCUCUACUCUUGAUUGUUCUUUGCCUUCUUUGAGAAUAUUUUUCCUCUUUGAUUCCAUGUAAAAUCUGUUUUCUUUUAGAUAUAAAGGUUAGUAAUAAGUUAUAGUAGCUUUAAUAUGAAAUUCAAUUAAUACAUAUUCUUGAGUUAGUUAAAUAACAUGAAAUAGUCCAAUAAACAGAAAAUAGAUUUAAUUUUUUUGAUGACGUUUGAUUUAAUAUAAUCAUUGGUUUAGGAUCGGAAUAACUUUACCUCAAUCAUCUCAAAGACCCCUUUGAUGGUUUCUUUUGUUCCCUGCCAAAUUACAAAAAUAAAUAUUUUCAUUUUAAAAUGAUACAAAUCAAUGUUAUACAAACAAUUGCUUUUGAAGGAUUUAUUUAAAAAGCUUACAUGUCGAAGGUUUCACCAAAUUUUGUGGUGUAUGUCUUCCAGGUACGAAAAACUGUCACUUGGAUUGGUCGUAAAUGUUUUCCAUGUAUGCAAGACACUGACUUGCACUUACCAACCCGUUUUGUACGGCUUCACAUCAUCAAUGAAAGCAAAAGAUGAAACAUUGUCAAAAGGAGAAGAAAGAGACGUUUGCUGUGAAUAGAGGUAAUUGCUGGAUGAAAAUGGUAUGUGAGAAUGACGUUAAUAUAUAGUGUAGAAGGAGGGUAGGGUUUUUGGCUCCAGUAUCUUCGAAAAUCUUGGAGAGAAAGUUAAAAUAUCUUGAAUAUUAACGAAAAUAUAUUUUUUAGAAUGUAUCGAAAUGAAUGAUACACAGAUUUAAGGGAAAUAAGGAUAUUGAGUAGUAGGUUAUAGUUAGGAUUUAAGAAAAGAGAAGAUUUUAGAAAUAUUUGAUUAUCAAUUAGGCGAG